Seriola aureovittata is the source of this 1094-nucleotide long non-coding RNA. RefSeq lists it as uncharacterized. The transcript is spliced from 2 exons. Lineage: Eukaryota; Metazoa; Chordata; Actinopteri; Carangiformes; Carangidae. The record is from RefSeq and is a predicted model, not a curated record.
CCCUUUCAUCCAGGCUGAUACUCUCUAACCUGAGAGCAGCAGGCUGGAGAGGCGUCUUCUACAGUCGAGCCGAGGGGUUUAGAAGCGGCGCGCUCCUUAUCUGGCCGACAGUUUUAUUACGCAGCAGACGGAGCGAAUCUGAUAUCGAUCACAUCAGAUCUGCAGAGAUAAAACAGACAGGAAGUCUCUCUCUGCUGCAGCAUCCAGAGCCACAGCGCACAGGUGAGGACGAGCAGACACAACACGUGGAGGCACAGUCAUCCAGACAAGAGGAAAUAUCAGAGCUGGUCCUGGCCGACCUCAGUGUGGGCGUGGAUCACCUGUCUGCUCCAGACCGUCUCACCUGGUGAACGUGUUCACUCUCACUUCCAGCUGCUGAACCACUUUAUGUUUGGACCCUUUUGUUUUGACAUUUCUUUCAUUUCCUGUUUUAUUUUGUAUUACUCCCCUUGUGUGUCUCGUGGUUAUUUUACUUCCUGUCUUUGUCUUGUGUUUCCCUCCUGGUUGAUUGUUGGCCCCGCCCUGAUGUGUUUCACCUGUGUUCAGUCACCUGUGCCUCCCUGGUGUGUAUUUAGUCUCUGUCUCUGUCACGUCGUAUAUAUGAUGAAUUUUCACAUAGAACAUGUUGUGAGUGUUCAAUGUGAAAAUAAUGUUAUGUUUAAAACCCUUUUUCCAGCUGCUUUUCCUUUUCCUGUUAGCUAAUCCAUUAGCUUAGCCAUUUAGCUUCUCCUGUUAGCCUUUCUGUGACACACUGGGCUUCAGUGUUGGUCCAAUCCCAAUUGGCCAUGGGAUGUAACAGGGUCUCUGAUUGGUUGGAGAGCUAUGGGUUUCACCAGCACAGACGGCCCAGAGUGUCACAGAGAGGCUAACAGGAGAAGCUAACAGGAGAAGCUAAAUGGCUAAGCUAAUCGAUUAGCUUAUAGGAAAAGCAGCUGGAAAAAGGAGAUUGAAGAUUAGCUGAGCUCACAUUUUUAAAAUGUCUUUUCAAACAGUUUUUCAAAUUCUAUCAUUAAUCAUAAAUUAAUAAAUAUAUUAAUAACUGGUUUAUUUAAUGAGAGCUUAUGCUCUUUAAUAAAUCCAUGUUUAAAUCUGAA